AACGAACGCUGGCGGCAUGCCUAACACAUGCAAGUCGAACGAAGGCUUCGGCCUUAGUGGCGCACGGGUGCGUAACGCGUGGGAAUCUGCCCCUCGGAUCGGAAUAACAGUUAGAAAUGACUGCCAAUACCGGAUGAUGACUUCGGUCCAAAGAUUUAUCGCCGAGGGAUGAGCCCGCGUAAGAUUAGGUAGUUGGUGGGGUAAAGGCCUACCAAGCCGACCAUCUUUAGCUGGUCUGAGAGGAUGAUCAGCCACACUGGGACUGAGCCACGGCCCAGACUCCUACGGGAGGCAGCAGUGGGGAAUAUUGGACAAUGGGCGAAAGCCUGAUCCAGCAAUGCCGCGUGAGUGAUGAAGGCCUUAGGGUUGUAAAGCUCUUUUACCAGGGAUGAUAAUGACAGUACCUGGAGAAUAAGCUCCGGCUAACUCCGUGCCAGCAGCCGCAGUAA
This 449-nucleotide ribosomal RNA is filed under the name uncultured bacterium. Its description in RNAcentral is "partial 16S ribosomal RNA". It matches the Rfam family "Bacterial small subunit ribosomal RNA", at positions 29 to 523 of the family's 1533-position model. The record is from RNAcentral.